GUAAUAAUCAUUUGUUGCUAUCAUCAUCUAGUGGUGUUUCGCAAGAAACAUUAAAUCAGAGCAUCGGAUCGUCGAGGGCCAACUCACUGCCACGACCUGUGUCACCAUCACCAUCUGUUAACAGCGAUAAGCCUGAAACAGGAGCCCCACAUGAUAAGCAUGAACGCGAGGAGGAAGAACGCAAACGCCGAAUUCAGCUGUACGUAUUUAUAUCACGAUGUAUUUCGUAUCCGUUUAAUGCUAAACAUCCUACGGAUAUGACAAAACGGCAACCAAAAACUACGAAACAACAAUUAGAGAUAAUUACCCAACGAUUCCAGGGAGCAGAUCGAUGUUUCCACGACGAGAUUGAUGGUCCAGUGACUCCUAGUAGCCGUCGCAAGAAUAGAAAGGCCGAUGGGUUUCGUGGUAUAUAUAUAUAUAUAUAUGUAGGUGUGUGUAUAUUUAUUGGGUCGACCGGUUGAAACGGAGGUGAAGUCGUAACUAAACUCUAAGCCUUAUGAUCUAUGCUUUAUGCUGCGGUGAGCGCCGUGUGGAUCGUGGAUUGUGGUCAAGAUUUGUUUUAAGCCAUCGCUAUCUAGAGUUGCAGCACCUGUAAUACCCACAAAAUUGUUACUCCGAUUACCAAGGUAAUCUCGCCAAUCUGAGCCAAUAGCAUUUAAUAUAAAUGUGGCCUCAAAAAAUAUGUUAUGAAAAAUAUUAAAUUGAAAUAUGAAAUCAUUAUUCGUUUCAUCUGGGAAGCGAAAACAUCUAAAAUCUAAAAUCUUAUAACCGAAAGCACAUAAAAUUUCAAGAAAAUCGGUGAAGCCAUUUCGGAGGAGUUCAAUUAAAAACAUUGUAACCCGAGAAUUUAAUAUAUUUGAGCAAUGCUAAAAUCAA
Long non-coding RNA from Drosophila pseudoobscura, 879 nucleotides. RefSeq lists it as uncharacterized. NCBI's taxonomy places the organism in Eukaryota, Metazoa, Arthropoda, Insecta, Diptera, Drosophilidae. The record is from RefSeq and is a predicted model, not a curated record. The transcript is spliced from 4 exons.